GGCCAGCAUGGUGUAGUGGUUUGAGCACUGGACUAGGAUUCUGGAGAGCAGGGUUUGAAUCCCAGAUUGGUCA
Molecule: non-coding RNA, 73 nt
Organism: Phrynosoma platyrhinos (Desert horned lizard)
Lineage: Eukaryota; Metazoa; Chordata; Lepidosauria; Squamata; Phrynosomatidae
Source: the annotation of a GenBank genome assembly